Molecule: ribosomal RNA, 466 nt
Filed under: uncultured bacterium
Lineage: Bacteria
Description: partial 16S ribosomal RNA
Rfam family: Bacterial small subunit ribosomal RNA
Source: RNAcentral
GACGAACGCUGGCGGCGUGCUUAACACAUGCAAGUCGAACGGAAAGGCCCUGCUUUUGUGGGGUGCUCGAGUGGCGAACGGGUGAGUAACACGUGAGUAACCUGCCCUUGACUUUGGGAUAACUUCAGGAAACUGGGGCUAAUACCGGAUAGGAGCUCCUGCUGCAUGGUGGGGGUUGGAAAGUUUCGGCGGUUGGGGGUGGACUCGCGGCUUAUCAGCUUGUUGGUGGGGUAGUGGCUUACCAAGGCUUUGACGGGUAGCCGGCCUGAGAGGGUGACCGGCCACAUUGGGACUGAGAUACGGCCCAGACUCCUACGGGAGGCAGCAGUGGGGAAUAUUGCACAAUGGGCGGAAGCCUGAUGCAGCAACGCCGCGUGCGGGAUGACGGCCUUCGGGUUGUAAACCGCUUUCGCCUGUGACGAAGCGUGAGUGACGGUAAUGGGUAAAGAAGCACCGGCUAACUACG